This 2298-nucleotide long non-coding RNA is filed under the name Homo sapiens (human). RNAcentral describes it as "long non-coding RNA NONHSAT155742.1". The record is from RNAcentral. Lineage: Eukaryota; Metazoa; Chordata; Mammalia; Primates; Hominidae.
AACUGCUUGAGCUAAGAGCAAGCUCAGUGUUUCCUUCAAGCAGCAUCGUGGACAGAUUCCUGCCAGACCCUUCAGAGCAAGCACCCCACACCCCUAGCCCAGGGUCUCUUCAUCGAUAGGGGGUGAUCUGUCUGCCCCUCACUGUUUUCUCCAAAUAGGAUCUCCAAAUGGACUAGACUCGACAAGCAAACAGUCUGCAGUGGACCCCUUGGGUCAUCCAUUCUGAUGGAAACAGAAAUAGAAUUCCAGCCCGGUGGAGUGGAGAAGGCUCCAGGAGGGCGUCGGGCCCAACCACCUUGCGUUAUGGAGCACAGAGAGGGAUUCUGCUGUGGUCACAUAGCACCUAAGUGGUUGCAGCAGCCUCAGAACAGGCUGUCCUGCCUGGAUAAGAUCUCACUAUAUUGCCCUGGCUGGUCUCAAACUCCCGUGUUCAAGUCAUCUGCCUGCCUCGACCUCCUAAAGGGCAAGCGGGAUUACAGGCUUCUCCACAGCCCAGCCACAGUGAGGGAGUCAUCAGCACUGGAACCCGGGGUCCACGGCCUUGGAGGAUCCGGACCCUCCGCAUUUGAGGAACUUGGCCUUCAGUCAGGGAGCCAAGAAGUCCCUGCCAAUCAAGGAGGGGGUGUGGGCUGGUGGGGGGGGGGCAGCCUUGGGGCACGGGAGCUGAUAGACCAGACUCAAGAGUUCUACUCCUGACUUCUAGAUUGUUCCACCUCCAUAUGGAAUAUGUUCCUUCCAUCUAACACUGUGUGAUUUGGGGACCAUCCAACUCAAAUGAAAGAAGCCAAGCCAUGCAGCGAGCCACCCCCUCCCCAAUGUGGGGUACCCCCUGCCCCCGCCCAGCUCCCCUGCCCUCCCAGCUGAGGGGGGAUCGCCGCCUGGUGAUCUCAGCCUCCCCUCCAAGUGGGCUGUGAAGUGUCUAAUCCAGGCUUUCAUCUGGCAUCCACAAUUAUAAUGUCAAGAUUGAAUAAUCUGCCUUUAUCUCCCGGGUGACAGCCAUGUAGAAACUUCAAAAGAAACAGUUUUGCUGGCAUCUAACGGCUUUUGUUAAUUACUAUAUCCCAAAGAAAAUGAAAUAAAGGAGGGAGAAAAAUGAUAUUUGUUUCUAACACUGCGCAUGCCUUUCGGAGACAAAUUUUAAAAAUAAACAUUAUUUUUAAAAGGAAACAAACAAACAAAACCAAACAGAAGGGAGGCUGGGUUUCUUGGGGAUUUCGGGAGUGCCUGUGUCUCCACGACCUGGGCAGUGCUCUUCUGAGAGGACUGAGGGCUGGGGAGGCAGAGAGAGCAACGACAGGCUACCAGCAUUGAGAAAGAAGGCCUCAAGGCCACAUUGAGAAGGACACUACGCUCUGGAUCACAGGCUGAGCCCUGCAUUCUUGACAUUGGAGCCCUUCGGGAGUGCCAGAACGAGCAGUCCCUCUCCUGGAGGAGCCUGCCUUCCCACCACGGAGGCUAACACCACAACAGCCACAGUGAGCCACCCCUUCUGCCCAUCUUCUUACGUGUCAAGCACUGUGUUCAGUGCCUUCACAGGUAACUUCGAUAAGUCACGAUGGGCAUGCUGCGACUAAGUUGGUACUGAUAUUCUAUUGGUUUUAAAUGGGGAAACUGAGGCUCAGGAAGGUUCAGUAUUUUGCUGGAGGUCACACAGCCAGGCAAGGGCAGAGCCAAGAUUUCAGUUUCAAUCUGUCUGGCUUGGAAGACUUCCUUAUCUUGUGGCAGCAUCUCCAGAGAUCAUGGGUCAGCCUCUUCUUGCCAGAGGCGUGUGUGUGUGCACAGACACAUACACGCUUCAAAACCUAAAAAGGUGGGAAUGAAAGAAGCUCCUAACCCUCCUGGCUUUUUUCCCAAAGCCAGGAGGCAGCUCCUGAAUGGUGGAUUUUGGACUACUGGUGAGGCUGUCAGCAAAGGGCCUGGCCCAGAGAGAUGCUCAAGAGUAGGAUGAAAAGACCGUGGGCUUCUUCCUCUGCAAAAGGAAAGGUUUGGGACUGAUGGAUGCUGAAAAGUCUAGAUCUUCAUAAUCCUCAACAGCUUCACUGCCACUGCACACACAAAAUGAGUGUGCCCUAUAUUUCCAGCCCUCUGAUGAAUACGAAAAGAGCCUGAAGAACUCAUCUUCCUGGUCGCAAAGUACUUUAAAAUAUAUAAUCCCUCAAUCUUAAACAUACACAUUUUAUUGCUUUUUAUUAUACAAUAAUACAUAUUUACUAUUGAAAAUACAGAUAAGAAAAAAGAAAAUGGUUCAUAAUAAUACUACCCAGGUUUAAAAAAUACUAUUCAGCCUUAUGUUGAAGA